UUUACAUAGGCUAGAUCUGGAUGUUAUACUGUGUGUACCUACGUUAUUCGAAUGGGAUCCUGACCCGAUGUGUACAAAACUGCUAGGUUAGGUCUCUCGGCCUUGGAUUUACGUUGCACAGUUAAUUCCUUACUGUCACAACACUCCUUUCUGCAAUGGCCGAUGAGUCCAAUAGAACCGCUUUUUUAGAGAUUCAGAGUCGCAUGAUCGAAACUACUGCCAAAUCUUUGUUAUCCUGCUAGAGAAUAUGGUGCAAAACCAGAUGUGAAACAAGGAGGGAGAAAAGAAGCAUGCUUACUUAACAUUGGAGGAGUUGCGACAACUGCCUGACGAUACAAAUACUUACGAAUCUAUUGGGAGAACGUGUGUAGUUUAUGAACCAAAUGAAUUCGGUUAAAUCAUGAUUUAUUGGGUGUUUGGAAUUGAAAUAGAUACAUGCUCUCAUGAAUACCCUCCUCUCUGUUUCUUUCUGUGUCUCUAUCUUGCGUGUGGCCAGGUUUGUCUUGGAGCCAAAGUCUGUUUCAAUGAGUGAACAAGAUCAGAAGAUAAAGGAUAGCGAGAUUGCAAUAGCCUCAGGUUAGCUCUCUUGGCCUUGGAUUUACAUUGAACGGUUAAUUCCUUACUAUCACAACACUCCUUUCUGCAAUGGCUGAUGAGUCCAAUAGAACUGCGUUUUUAGAGAUUCAGAGUUGUAUGAUCGAAACUACUGCCAAAUUGAAGCAGGUGCAAAACCAGAUGCGAACCAAGGAGGGAGAAAAGAAGCGUGCUUACUUAACAUUGGAGGAGUUGCGACAACUGCCUGACGAUACAAAUUGAGAGUCGUAUGAUCGAAACUACUGCCAAAUUGAAGCAGGUGCAAAACCAGAUGCCAACCAAGCAGGGAGAAAAGAAGCGUGCUUACUUAACAUUGGAGGAGUUGCGACAACUGCCUGACGAUACAAAUACUUACAAAUCUAUAGGGAGAACGUGAGUAGUUUAUAAACCAAAUGACUUCAGUUAAAUCAUGAUUUAUUGGGUGUUUGGAAUUGAAAUAGAUACAUGCUCUCAUGAAUAUCCUCCUCUCUGUUUCUUUCUGUGUCUCUAUCUUUGUGUGUGGCCAGGUUUGUCUUGGAGUCUAAGUCUGUUUUAAUGAGUGAACAAGAUCAGAAGAUAAAGGAUAGCGAGACUGCAAUAGCCUAAUGCAGGUAUAUCUCAGUGUGUGUGUGUGUGUGUGUGUGUGUGUGUGUGAUGUGGGUCAUUGUUGGCUCUUUUAUAUAAUGAAAAGCUAUUCCAUCUCAUAUUUCUGCGAUCCCGGAGCUAUUUUUUGUUUUUAUAUUUGGAUAACUUGCUUCAAUGCCUUAUCAAAUCAGGUAUACUAAGACAGUGAUUUUCUCAGGUCCUGCAUUAGGCAAAUAAAAUUGUAGGUUUUGACAAUUACAUCAUCCAUGGGCAUCAUUUUUUUUAUUUUUUUUGGUUCAUUUUCUGAUA
This is a long non-coding RNA of Hevea brasiliensis (rubber tree), 1467 nucleotides long. RefSeq lists it as uncharacterized. NCBI's taxonomy places the organism in Eukaryota, Viridiplantae, Streptophyta, Magnoliopsida, Malpighiales, Euphorbiaceae. The transcript has 9 exons. The record is from RefSeq and is a predicted model, not a curated record.